CCAAUAGCGUAUAUUAAAGUUGUUGCAGUUAAAAAGCUCGUAGUUGAAUUUCAGGCCUGACUGGACGGUCCGCCCUUCGGGUGAGUACUGUCUGUGGUCGGGUCCUACCUUCUGGCGAAGCGUCAUGGCCUUAACCGGCCGUGGCGGGGAACCAGGACUUUUACUGUGAAAAAAUUAGAGUGUUCAAAGCAGGCAAAUCGCUUGGAUACAUUAGCAUGGAAUAAUGGAAUAGGACAAUGGUUCUAUUUGUUGGUUUCUAGGACCGUUGUAAUGAUUAAUAGGGAUAGUUGGGGGCAUUAGUAUUCAAUUGUCAGAGGUGAAAUUCUUGGAUUUAUUGAAGACUAACUACUGCGAAAGCAUUUGCCAAGGAUGUUUUCAUUAAUCAAGAACGAAAGUUAGGGGAUCGAAGACGAUCAGAUACCGUCGUAGUCUUAACCAUAAACUAUGCCGACUAGGAAUCGGGCGAUGUUGAAAAAAUGACGCGCUCGGCACCUCAUG
RNAcentral lists this unclassified non-coding RNA (498 nucleotides) under uncultured Paraglomus. RNAcentral's name for it is "SSU rRNA". It matches the Rfam family "Eukaryotic small subunit ribosomal RNA", at positions 591 to 1092 of the family's 1831-position model. The record is from RNAcentral. Lineage: Eukaryota; Fungi; Glomeromycota; Glomeromycetes; Paraglomerales; Paraglomeraceae.